UGCAAGUCGAGCGGUAACAGAAAGUAGCUUGCUACUUUGCUGACGAGCGGCGGACGGGUGAGUAAUGCUUGGGAACAUGCCUUGAGGUGGGGGACAACAGUUGGAAACGACUGCUAAUACCGCAUAAUGUCUACGGACCAAAGGGGGCUUCGGCUCUCGCCUUUAGAUUGGCCCAAGUGGGAUUAGCUAGUUGGUGAGGUAAUGGCUCACCAAGGCAACGAUCCCUAGCUGGUUUGAGAGGAUGAUCAGCCACACUGGAACUGAGACACGGUCCAGACUCCUACGGGAGGCAGCAGUGGGGAAUAUUGCACAAUGGGCGAAAGCCUGAUGCAGCCAUGCCGCGUGUGUGAAGAAGGCCUUCGGGUUGUAAAGCACUUUCAGUCAGGAGGAAAGGGUGUGAGUUAAUACCUCACAUCUGUGACGUUACUGACAGAAGAAGCACCGGCUAACUCCGUGCCAGCAGCCGCGGUAAUACGGAGGGUGCGAGCGUUAAUCGGAAUUACUGGGCGUAAAGCGUACGCAGGCGGUUUGUUAAGCGAGAUGUGAAAGCCCCGGGCUCAACCUGGGAACUGCAUUUCGAACUGGCAAACUAGAGUGUGAUAGAGGGUGGUAGAAUUUCAGGUGUAGCGGUGAAAUGCGUAGAGAUCUGAAGGAAUACCGAUGGCGAAGGCAGCCACCUGGGUCAACACUGACGCUCAUGUACGAAAGCGUGGGGAGCAAACGGGAUUAGAUACCCCGGUAGUCCACGCCGUAAACGAUGUCUACUAGAAGCUCGGAACCUCGGUUCUGUUUUUCAAAGCUAACGCAUUAAGUAGACCGCCUGGGGAGUACGGCCGCAAGGUUAAAACUCAAAUGAAUUGACGGGGGCCCGCACAAGCGGUGGAGCAUGUGUUUAAUUCGAUGCAACGCGAAGAUCCUCACCUACACUUGACAUACAGAGAACUUUCUAGAGAUAGAUUGGUGCCUUCGGGAACUCUGAUACAGGUGCUGCAUGGCUGUCGUCAGCUCGUGUUGUGAGAUGUGGGUAAGUCCCGCACGAGCGCCAACUCUAUUCUUAGUGGCUAGCAGUACUGCUGAAAACUCUAGAACUGCUGGUGAUAACGGAGGAGGUGGGGACGACGUCAGGUCAUCAUGCCUACGUGAGGCUACCACGUGCUCAUGGCCAUAAGAGGCUCACUGCAAGUUACCAAUCCUAAGUGCCUGAUCCGGAUGGAACUGAACUCGACUCAUUGGAAUCGGAAUUCGUCAUAAAUGAACU
Molecule: ribosomal RNA, 1258 nt
Filed under: uncultured Pseudoalteromonas sp.
Lineage: Bacteria; Pseudomonadati; Pseudomonadota; Gammaproteobacteria; Alteromonadales; Pseudoalteromonadaceae
Description: partial 16S ribosomal RNA
Rfam family: Bacterial small subunit ribosomal RNA
Source: RNAcentral